This is a non-coding RNA of Vicugna pacos (alpaca), 394 nucleotides long. The record is from RefSeq and is a predicted model, not a curated record. Lineage: Eukaryota; Metazoa; Chordata; Mammalia; Artiodactyla; Camelidae.
ACUACGAGCUUCCAAGAAGGAAACUUACACAAAGGGCCCAGCAUGCAGUAUGAGCACCAAAAAAUUAGCUCCUUACCUCACAAGCAAGAAUUAAAAAUUCAAAAGAUUCAGCUGGAAAAUUAGAGUCAGAAACUUAAACUGAACAGAAGAAAAGUGCCGGAGUGGCAUCUACGAUUGAUGAGGCUUUGGGUAGCGGCUACAAUAGCGACAAUCAGCUUUCACCUCAUCCAAGAGCAUCCAAUAGCUGGGCUAAGGAAUUCUACCCAAGAGUUCGCACAACUUCCAGCACUGGCGAGUGACACCCACAAUGUUUGCAAACACAAGGCAAACCUCGACGUAACUGGAAGAGGAAAAACUUUCAAAGAACGAGCACCUCUUCGGCGUAAUGAAAUUA